CAGUCGCCGCGGUAAUACGAAGGGGGCUAGCGUUGCUCGGAAUGACUGGGCGUAAAGGGCGCGUAGGCGGUUUGUACAGUUGGAUGUGAAAUUCCUGGGCUUAACCUGGGGGCUGCAUUCAAUACGUGCAGGCUUGAGUGUGGAAGAGGGUUGUGGAAUUCCCAGUGUAGAGGUGAAAUUCGUAGAUAUUGGGAAGAGCACCGGUGGCGAAGGCGGCAACCUGGUCCAUUACUGACGCUGAGGCGCGAAAGCGUGGGGAGCAUACAGGAUUAGAUACCCGCGUAGUCCCUGUCUCUUAUAC
Molecule: ribosomal RNA, 301 nt
Filed under: uncultured bacterium
Lineage: Bacteria
Description: partial 16S ribosomal RNA
Rfam family: Bacterial small subunit ribosomal RNA
Source: RNAcentral